This is a long non-coding RNA of Manis javanica (Malayan pangolin), 4192 nucleotides long. RefSeq lists it as uncharacterized. The record is from RefSeq and is a predicted model, not a curated record. NCBI's taxonomy places the organism in Eukaryota, Metazoa, Chordata, Mammalia, Pholidota, Manidae.
GGACGGGAAGCCUUUUUUACGAUGCGACAGUCAAGCUUUCACCAUCGGAACAUCGGCCUCAGUUGGAGGGCGUGACUUUGCCAUGUCUAUUUCACGUGAACCAUUCGCGAGGGCACGAGCGGAUGCAGGCACCAGUUUUAGGGCCAGCGGGGGAGUUGGGGUGCAAAUUCCGUGAGGAACAUUAAUGAGGCGCCAGCUCUCCCCAUUAUAAAUCUUGAUUUGGUUCUUGGUUCCUGGAAUGCAGCAGCUGCCUGGAUUCUGCUUUCUGAUUAUGACUUGAGGCAGGGAGAGCCCAAGGGACACUGUUAUGCACCUCCAUCAUCUCAGGGACUGCCCUGUUUGGAGGCACAGUAGUGCCCAGCCUUCCAGCAUGGACUGGGGAACAGAGAUGCAGCCUAGGCCAUGCUCCUUAACUUCGGUGUUACAGCUGUUGUGAGGCUUUAAGGAUUUCUUCAUGUGUGAGGUUCUCCUGCAAGUCGACAGGGUUUGGAUGCAAGUCGUUCACCUGGGGUGUGAGUGCAGAGAGGGAGGCAGAGAAAGAAGCCAAGAAAGCGCAUGUCAAGGGGACACUGACCACUGCGGACGACUCUUCUUGCUGUGGAUGCUCUUGAGAGACCAUGCAGACUCAAGCGUCCCCUCACCGAGGGGUGGUGGGAGCUGGGUGUUCAUCACCAAUUUCUGUCCCUCGCUGGUUGAAAGGUGCCCGAGCAGGGCAUUGACCACUCCGACCCUCCCAACCCCCACAGGAAGCUGGCUGAAUGCUGGGUAGCAGUCAGAGAGGACCCCUGGACAGAGAGAGGCAGGUGCUGGAUGGAGGGACCCCUCCACCAAAGCCCCAGGACCCAUGGGCCCUGGCAGUGUCUGCUCCAAUAACCCCGAUAGCUGCAUUUAGGCUAAAGAGGGUAGGUGAGAGGGAACAGAAUAUGAAAAGUGCAGAGGCAGGAGGGAGUGAGGGCUGAGAACUCGGAGGAGGCCAGAACAGCUGACCUGCAGGUAUGUGGGCUGUGCGAUGAGGCUGAGAGGCAUGUGGGACGGACAAACCUUUACUGCAAAAGGGGUUCAGAAGGCUUUCAGGAGGUGGAUAGCAUGUCAGGCUCACAUGUUAGGAGGGUCUGUGUAGCUGCAGCAUGGACAGCGGUUCAGAGAGGGUCAGAGUUACAAGAAAUUGGGUAAGAGGUUCUUGCGGAGGUAGGGCUAUGCCUGCUGGGCGUAGGCAGGUGGUGGCUGUGUGGGAGGGGACAGGAAAUAAAGUCAGUAGGACUUGUGCUGUCUGCCUCCUUCACCCCAUGUCCUGCCACACCUCUGCCAAGGCCAUUGUUGGCCCUCACUGGACCCACUCCUACUGACCUCCCAUCCCAAGAGUAGGUGAGAACACCUGAACAGGAAUGAAAGUAUUUGCUGUGAAGAGAUGUAGCAAUUAGGGCUCAUUGGGAGGCGGCGACAGAAAGGAACUUUGGCAAGCUUAAGCAAGAGGGGCAUUUAUGGGAGGUCCGCAGAGCUCAGAAAACCUGGGUGGCUGAAGGACUGCACUUGAGAAAUGGACAGGAACCCUUUGGCCCCAGAUAGCCAGGCAGCAGGAUCUCCCAUUCUUUCAUUCCCCAGACUACUGAGCACCUGCUCUGUGCCAAUCAUGGUCGGUCCAGGUGCUGUGGACAGAGAGUGAGCCAAGCCUUGUCCUUCCUCUCAUGGGCCUUACAUUCUUAUGGGGUGAGGGUGGGGGCAGCAGUGAAAAUGACAAGUGGUGGGGAGGGCUCAUGAAGAAGAGUAGGGGAGGGCAGGGCAGGUGUAGAGCGUGGGGGUUCUGCUUCACCUGGGGGAACAGGGUUGUCCUUUCCAGUGAAGUCAUCAGAGAAGAACUCUGACUGAGCACACGGAGGAGCUGUGUAAAUCUGGGGAAAGAGCGGCCCCAGCAGGGGGUGGAGGCUGGGUGGUCACUGCGGAUGGAGAAGGCCAUGGUUAGGAUUAUGGAUUUCGAGUGAAAUAGCAAGUGCCUGGAAGGAUUUGAGCAGGGGCUCACGCCGUCUGGUACCUGAUGACAGGAUCACUCUGACUUCUGUGCAGGGAGUGGAUUGUAGACGCCAAGGAGGAAGCCCAGUUGGAGUACUAACUGUUAGAAUAGUAAGAAAGUAGCAAGACACAAGAUAUUCUUUGGAGGUGGAGCUGAGAGUAUGGAUGGAUUAGGUAAAGACUGAAGGGACAGACAAGAGUCAAAACUAACUGCUAGGUUUUUGGCCCAAGGAGAUACUACUUACUGAUAGGGGGAUGGCUUGGGAUGGUUGGGGAGUUAAGAGUUGUGUUUGUAUGUGUUGGUGUCGUGCUGAGACACACCUGACCUUUAGAAGGACCCCUAAGGAAAGUUAGGCACUCCAACAAUCCUACAUCUUUGUGUCCCUUGCUCAAGAGCCAAAGUCCUGGGGUGGCAUGUUGGACAACCAAAAACGAGUGAGAAUCCACUCUGAGACAAGUCUGAGGGGUUGGCAUGGUCUAAACGCCUGUUGAGGGACAUCCAGCCAAACAAGAGCCAGUGUGUGCUGAGUUUUAAGGGCAGGGGCUAGGGCCAAUGAGCAGAAGCUCCAGAUGGCAGGUUCUGAUUCGGCAUAAGACAGAAACUUUCAACCCUUUCCAGGAUCCCCUGGCCUCUGGGAUGCAGCCAUUGCCUGGCACUUGACUCAUUUAGGCACCAACUGGCCAAGCACUUGGAGGGAUGCAGAGGGAGAAGGCUAAGCUCUGUAGGUGAUUGAACCAGGGAAGGGGAUUGGGGUGUUUGAUCUGAGACCUCCCAUGAGAAAAAUAUUUUGAAGGUACAUCCCUAAUAUCCGUAUACCUGUGUGUUUGUUCGGUCACAUAUUAUAGCAACUAUGCCUACAAUAAAAUUUGACAAAAUCAACUUCUAAAAUGCUAAACAAUAGAUGAAUACAUUUGCUUUAAUUUUUAUUUUAUUAAUAUUACUAAAAAUCUUCUGUUAUCACAAAAACAUUAAUGAUAAAUAUUUUAGAGUGAUUUGAUUGCAAAUACUUCAUUAUUUGUUUUAUUGGUUUACCACUCUGUCAUAUUGAAAUGUGACAGCCUAGUUCUAAAUUCAGUUUACCUGAAUACUUGGUUUGUAUUACUGUUGAGCUGUAUACAAUAAUUUUAAAAGAUGUCUGGUUCCAAAUGUCAGACAGGCAUCAUGGGCCAUAGUGAAUCAUGACUCCAUUUUUCUGUCCCACCCAUCAAUUGAUCAAAAACACACAUUCAAGAAAUGUGGUUAGUCAUUCUCUAUCUCCUUUGAUAUUAAUUAGUUGUUCUUGAAACUGAAUUCGAAGGGUUUGCAGUUUUAUGUUGUUCUAAUGGUGAUUACAUUCACAUUGUUUUGUAACCAAUCUUGAGAAGUUUUUCAUUGCAAACCUGAAACUGUGUAUCCCUUAAACAAUGGGUUUCAUGUGUGUAAUAAUUAGGCACACAGCCCAGUUAAAUAUUUCAUUUGAAAAAUAGCCAUUUUGUUUUUAAAUGUUAAAACGUGUACCUAGAUAUAUUUAUGGUGACCACAUGUAUCAUUUUUGUAACUAAAUCAAAAUAACAACACAUUGGAAACAUUUAGAUCUAUCUGUUUCAAAAUCAUCUCUCUGUAGCAUGUUUCUUUCAGAAAGAAGUUAAUUUCUAAUUCAUUGUUCCAAGCAGCACCUUGACUUGACAUUCCAGAUGAAAUCUGGUUCUUUCUUCAGUUUGCUUGCUAUAUACCUGUAAUAUUGAAAGCUCCAUGUCAUCCCAGAAAAGGUCAGAAAACUUUUUUUUUUUUCCAAACAGGACAACAUCUGUUUCUUAAGGUUACCACCUGCUAGUAUAACACUGGAUAAAGAUUUGACUGUAUUUUAACUCUUUCCUUCAUGAUAUUAAUCACACUGAUGACACCUUGUAUCACUUUGUGUACAUUUUACCUUUUAAUUCUCUCAUGCUACUGUUUUGCCUGUAAAUGACACGUGCAUGGGCCCCUCUUGCAGUGCUUACUCUAAAACCUGACCCUAGAACUUUUAUUAAAAAUUGAGAUCAACGUAGCCAUCCCUAUUGUGGUUACAUCUAUAUACCCUUUUCCCAUAAAACAUCAUCUUUAAUAAAGUCAUAUGUUAUUGAGAAUGUUUUCUCUUCUACAUCUUUCCUUUAAUAGUUUUCAAACAACUAAAUUCUUCAUGUUGUCAUCACUGAAACAAAAUUU